GGUGGGGAUGACGUCAAGUCCUCAUGGCCUUUAUGCCCAGGGCUACACACGUACUACAAUGGGCGGUACAAAGGGAAGCGAGUCCGCGAGGAGGAGCCAACCCCAAAAAGCCGUUCACAGUUCGGAUCGGAGUCUGCAACUCGACUCCGUGAAGUUGGAAUCGCUAGUAAUCGCGGAUCAGCAUGCCGCGGUGAAUACGUUCCCGGGCCUUGUACACACCGCCCGUCACACCACGAAAGUCGGCUGUACCAGAAGUGCGUGGGCUAACUUUUCGGAGAGGCAGCGUACCAAGGUGUGGUCGGUAAUUGGGGCG
This 313-nucleotide ribosomal RNA is filed under the name uncultured bacterium. RNAcentral's name for it is "bacterial SSU rRNA". It matches the Rfam family "Bacterial small subunit ribosomal RNA", at positions 1172 to 1482 of the family's 1533-position model. The record is from RNAcentral.